This is a long non-coding RNA of Megalobrama amblycephala (Wuchang bream), 995 nucleotides long. RefSeq lists it as uncharacterized. The transcript is spliced from 4 exons. The record is from RefSeq and is a predicted model, not a curated record. NCBI's taxonomy places the organism in Eukaryota, Metazoa, Chordata, Actinopteri, Cypriniformes, Xenocyprididae.
GCAGUUAAAAAGAAUCCGAAAGCAUGAAUAAAAAAAUAUUGAGACUAACCUAAUAUCUAUAUCAAAAGCUUGGUAUAACUGCCUAUGAGCACGCUUUCAAAUAAAAUAAUGUGGUUAAAUGUUUGUAAAAACAACAAUAAAUAAUUAAGUUAUAAAAGUUUAAGUUAUACAAUUAUUAAGUUAUAAAAGUGCCACAAUUGUCCCACUAUCACGUGCUGGGGUGGCAUUUUGCUCCUAUGAACGGGUUAUAAAACUACAAAAUGAGUUUUAAAUUCAUGAUUUAAUAUUAAUGAGAUUUUUUUAUGUAAUGUUUUAAUUCUAGAUGUUUAUUUAUGUAAAUGCUGCAUUAACUGUGGCGUGUUUUAAUGCGCGUGCGCGCCGAACAUUCGAACCGCUUUCAAACACUGGAGCGGCGCAGAGUUGCCAUGGAAACGGACAAACAACAACUGACAAGCAGCAAAAACAGCAGUCUCUCGCUGUUGUUUUCACUUCUUUCAGCAGCGAUAAAAUAACCCCUCUACAACAGAGGGGAAGCUCCGAAGAUUUCAACAUUUCUGAAGGAAGCAGCUGACAGAACAAGGAAACACAGAUACUUCCCUGCUGACGCUCUGCACGAUAGCAGAGUUGGAGCGGAUAAAAAAGUUCCUGUCGGACCACAUGACUAGAUGCCCAGCAAGGUUACUAGAGGUUACAACAGCUCCAGUUUGGAUCCAGCCUCACUUGUGAAGACUGAAGAUGAUGGAACUAUAGAUGAACAUACAAAACUGACAGAUAUUAUCCUUAUAUUGUAAUCAUUGGUCCGGGUUCACAGACAGGGCUUAGAUUAAGUCAGGAUUAGGUCUUAGUUAAAUUAGGACAUUAACGUAGCUUUUUUUAAACAUGCUUUAGAAAAAAAAUAAAAAUCAUUACUGUUGUGCAUCUUGACACAAAACAAUGACACUGACAUAUAUUAAGAUAUGCUUUCAGGUAAAGGGUUAGUUCACUCAAAAAUUAAA